Molecule: ribosomal RNA, 612 nt
Filed under: Lycus sp. UPOL MK0611
Lineage: Eukaryota; Metazoa; Arthropoda; Insecta; Coleoptera; Lycidae
Description: partial 16S large subunit ribosomal RNA
Rfam family: Bacterial large subunit ribosomal RNA (bases 388-546)
Source: RNAcentral
UUAACAAAAACAUGUCUUUUUGAGAAUAAUUUAAAGUCUAAUCUGCUCAAUGAAGAUUAAAUUGCCGCAGUAUUUUGACUGUGCAAAGGUAGCAUAAUAAUUAGCUUCUUAAUUAGAAGCUGGAAUGAAUGAUUGGACAAGAAAAUUUCUGUCUCUAUUUAAAUGUUUAUUGAAUUUUAUUUUUAAGUUAAAAAGCUUAAAUUUAUAUAAAAGACGAGAAGACCCUAUAGAGUUUAAUAUUUUUUAUUUAUUUAAUUUUAGAAUUUUUUUUGAAUUUUAAAUAUUUAAUUGGGGUGAUUUAAAGAUUUGAAUAAUUCUUUAAUUUUUUUAUUGAUGAUAAUUAAGUUUUAAAUCUAUAUUUUUAAAUUUAAUAUAAAUUACCUUAGGGAUAACAGCGUGAUUUUUCUUUAAAGUUCUUAUUAAAAGAAGAUUUUGCGACCUCGAUGUUGGAUUAAAAUUAAUUUUUGGUGCAGUAACUUAAAAAUUAGGUCUGUUCGACCUUUAAAAUUUUACAUGAUCUGAGUUUAAACCGGUGUAAGCCAGGUUGGAUUCUAUCUUUAGAUUUAUUACAUAUUUUAGUACGAAAGGACCAAAUAUUUAUUAUAAUAAUUG